RNAcentral lists this microRNA (23 nucleotides) under Tribolium castaneum (red flour beetle). Its description in RNAcentral is "Tca-Mir-193-P2_3p (mature (guide))". Lineage: Eukaryota; Metazoa; Arthropoda; Insecta; Coleoptera; Tenebrionidae. The record is from RNAcentral.
CAAUGCCCUUGGAAAUCCCAAAC